This 451-nucleotide ribosomal RNA is filed under the name uncultured bacterium. Its description in RNAcentral is "partial 16S ribosomal RNA". It matches the Rfam family "Bacterial small subunit ribosomal RNA", at positions 29 to 523 of the family's 1533-position model. The record is from RNAcentral.
AGCGAACGCUGGCGGCAGGCUUAACACAUGCAAGUCGAGCGCGUGUAGCAAUACACGAGCGGCAGACGGGUGAGUAACACGUGGGAUCGUGCCUUUUGGUUCGGAAUAACUCAGGGAAACUUGAGCUAAUACCGAAUAAGCCCUUCGGGGGAAAGAUUUAUCGCCGAAAGAUCGGCCCGCGUAAGAUUAGCUUGUUGGUGAGGUAACGGCUCACCAAGGCUACGAUCUUUAGCUGGUCUGAGAGGAUGAUCAGCCACAUUGGGACUGAGACACGGCCCAAACUCCUACGGGAGGCAGCAGUGGGGAAUAUUGGACAAUGGGCGCAAGCCUGAUCCAGCCAUGCCGUGUGAGUGAUGAAGGCCUUAGGGUUGUAAAGCUCUUUUAGCAGGGACGAUAAUGACGGUACCUGCAGAAAAAGCCCCGGCCAACUUCGUGCCAGCAGCCGCCGCCG